UUUCUCAUGGUGUAGUGGUAACAAAGAGGUUUUUCAAUCUAAACCUGGCGGCGGUGAUGUCCAACCUUCAAUUGAACCAACCAACGAACAGAUCUCCGGCGGCAUGGUGGUGGCUACGGCGGGACGGGUUGAGAAGGAGGAGUGACGUCGGUAGGGUUGAGUUUCGGGUAAACAGUGAGAAGACGUGGCGGUGGCGGGAGCGGAAGAGAUCCCUAGGCAUUGCGAUUGGAGCUUUUGUUUUGGGUUUGGCUAUUCUUACACUCGCAGGUUGGUUAUGUCUCAUCAGACGUAGAAGAAAGACACAAGAACCUCAGAUCUAUUCGGUGGUUCAACUUUAAAUGACGGUUGCACACCACCCCUUGCCACCGCUGCUACAAUAAUAAAAAUGAAGAAGAAGAUGUAUUUACGAGUUUGCCAUUUAUUACAAAAAAAUAAGUAAAAAAAAACUCAAUGUAGAUUCGAACCCAAGUUUCGUUGAGAAAAUAAAUACUUUGUAACCACCACACCAUGAGAAUCUAAUCGUUA
Camelina sativa (false flax) is the source of this 525-nucleotide long non-coding RNA. RefSeq lists it as uncharacterized. The record is from RefSeq and is a predicted model, not a curated record. Lineage: Eukaryota; Viridiplantae; Streptophyta; Magnoliopsida; Brassicales; Brassicaceae.